RNAcentral lists this long non-coding RNA (17299 nucleotides) under Gossypium barbadense (sea-island cotton). RNAcentral's name for it is "long non-coding RNA (GBAR_LNC022887)". Lineage: Eukaryota; Viridiplantae; Streptophyta; Magnoliopsida; Malvales; Malvaceae. The record is from RNAcentral.
GAUCAAGUUUCUUCAUCAUCAUCAAAUGGUGAUACUAGCCACCAACCUAAGAGCUUUCGAAAUUUGACUCGGAUCACUGUUACAAAUUGUAAAAAUUUGAACAGUCUCUUUCCUUUUGGAUUAUUUCCUGUUCUUUCAAAGCUUGAAAGUCUCAUAGUUGAAAGGAAUUCUAAAUUGGAACAAGUAUUCGAAUUAGAAGAAAAAGUGGAAGUGGUAGCUAAAGAGAAGAUGAAAUUUUAUAACUUAGAAAGGUUAUUACUUGAAGAACUACCUGGCCUCAUUCAGUUUUGUCCCAAAGGAUAUCAUUUUGUAUUCCCAAAAAUGAUGGAGUUGAAAGUAAGAGAUUGCCCUAAGUUAACUACUGGUUUCUUCAUUGAUUCACAGGCAUUUGUACAUUGCAAAACAAAGGUAUAUAUCCUACAACCCUUUAUUCCUACUUUAUUCUAUGUAAUUAUAACAAUUACAACUAAAGGCAUAACAUGCAAAAUUUUUAAUUAAAUUCCUUAAGUGUAUAUGCGUUUCAUAUUUUUUUCCUUGAUGACAUGAGAUUAAAGUUUUAGUUAUAAUUGUUUCUUUAAUUGAUUUCUAAGGUACCUUAUUUGGUUGAGCAAGAUGCGGUUGAAGAAUCUACCACUGUUCAAAAUGCAAUUUUCAACGAGAAUAUAGAUUGGAGCCGAUGGUUGCGUAAGAGUCAACUACCACACAUUACAUGAAAGAAUGGAUGAUUUUAGGGUAGCUUUCAGAGCCAUGUUACAUCAGUAGGUGGAGCAAUGUUGCUCAGAUGUUUUUAGUUAAUUGUCUGAUAUAAUUUGUGUAUGAUAGAACAUGACCUUUACCGGCGUUUUCCCACAAACGUCGCUAUAAAACAUGACAUGUAGCGAUGCUUUUCCGACAAACGUAACUAAAAAACAUGACCUUUAAAAAAAAUUUCAUUAAAUAAUAUUUAUUUCUAUGAUAAAAUAUUUUAUUUUGUUUUAUUUUUAAAAUUUAAACUUUAAACUAUAUACUAAAUAAAAAAAAUAUUAAUUAAAUUAAAUUUUCUAUUAAAAUUUUAACUUUAAAACUAAAUAUAAAAAUUAAUAAAUUGAAAUUUAGAAUUUAAAUAUUAUGUUUUUAAUUCAAAGUUCAACUUUUGGCACACCUUACAAACAUGGGCUCUAAACAAGGAGAAAGAUUGCAUCUCGGGCACAAAAAUCAAAACAGUACAAAGGUAAUAUCUUCAAUAAUUUUACCGAUAAUAUCGAUACGGUAUAAUUUUAUCAAUAUUUAUGUAAUGACCUAAUAUUGCCCGGUCCAAUAUAAAAUAAUAAAACAACCCAAUUUAUUUUUACAAACCCAAAUUUAAAGCCCAAACUCACUACCUAAUAUAGACUCUAACCCAAAACACUAAACCUAAAACUCAAAUUAACCCCGAGCCCAAUAAAGUAAACCUAGUUAAACCUAGCCCUGUAAACAAACUAAGCCUGCAGAAACCCUAGCCUACAAGCCUCCAGCGCGCCGCUCCUUCCCCACGUGAGCCUCUGCCUCCAGAUUGGCUGCAUCCUUGCAAAGAAAUAACAGAAUAAUAGAAAAAUAAUUAGAGAAAAUAGCAAAUUUGUAAAACGGAUACUGGAUACGAAAAUAUAAAAAACAAAUAAACUAGCUUUGUUAUUUCAAGAUGAUUUUUCAGAUUCUAUCUUUUUUUUUUUUGCUCUUGGUUUUAUCAUCUUUUUAUUAAAAUAUAAAACGAAAGGAAGGAGGAGAGAAGAUUUACCUCUACUAGUCCGCCGUCGGCCUUUGUCUGCUCUGUUAAUAUCAGAGUUGAAGGGGCUGUUGUUUCGGCUGGGAACGGCGGAGAGAGGAUAGCCUAGGGUUUGGUUUUAUUUUCCUUAGAAGUGAAAAAAUAAUUCUGAUUAGGUUUUGGUUUGGGAUUUUAUAAAGUAAUAAAAACGACAUCGUUUGAGACCUGCUUCAGUGGCCCCAAAACGGCAUCGUAUAAGAGCAUACCCGACUGACCCGACCCAGAGGCGGCUGAGAUCCGCGUGUUGUGGCCCUGCUAGGGUUAUUUUCGAAUUUGGUCCUCCCUCUUUCAUAGUGAUUUCGAAUCAGUUUUUCUUUAUUUGUAAAUUCCAUACUGCAUUUUGCUUUUGUUUCAUUUUGGCCCAGGCUGUACGUCGCGUUUUGGAGGGACAGGGGUUAUUUCCCCAUUGGUCCCCCAUAUUAUUAGCACACUGCAUUUUGUCCCCUCGAUUUUAUUUUAUUUGCGAAUUUUCUCUUUAAUUUGGUUUCAAAUCCAAUUUAAUCUUAUUUUUUUUAUUGGAUUAAAUGCAUAUUGUUUUCUAUAUAUUUAGUUUUAAAUCAAAUAUUUCCAUAUGGUUUAAGAUUAGUGAUAUUAUUUGAAUUUAUCACCAAAAUCAUUAACAUUGUUUAUAUUUAUCUUUGUAGUUGUUUUUUAUUUAUCAUAUAUUACAAUUUUAAGUUUUCGUUUAUUAUUACUUAGAUUUAACAUAUUUUAUGAUUCGUAUAUUCUUUUGAUAUAGUUUUUUUAAUCUUUUAUUUAUUUUUUUAAAUUCUCUUUUAUAUUCCUAUAUUCCAAAAGUUAUAAUAAUACUUUCAUACCAUACUAUCAUAUACAUGCAAUUUUGAUUUUUUUUUUUUAUUUCAUGAACAGAUUAUUGUUUUCCUAUUAUUAUAAGGGCAAACUACCAAAAAUAGUUACUUUUGUUUGCCCUAGGUUACAUUUUAGUCACUUAUGUUUGGAAUAUUACUUUUUAGUCACUUACGUUAUCGUGUUGUAACAUUUUAGUCACUGAGUCGUUAAUUGCCAACAAUGGUGUAACGGUAAGCUGAUGUGGCAUGUUAAAUCAUCAUUUCAAACAAAAAUUUUAGGUUAAAUUCUACAAUUGGUCCCUAUAUUUUUUCAUUUUAAACAAUUUUAAAAUUUUCUUUUAAGUUCUUUUAAAAUUUUUUUCCAUUCUCUUUUGCUUCUACCUCUAUUUUCCUCCCUUCUUCAUUUCUUUUAACAUAGUUUUUCUAUGUUUUCCAUUUGUAACUAGUCCACAAGCUCGCCUCACUCAAAUUCAUUUUUAUGUUCAUAAAAUAAUUAAUAUUUCAACCUUUUUUUAAAAGUUAUUUAUAGUUCAUUUAUUUUAAAAUUGAAUCAGCAAUUAGAAUUCUAUCACUCUCAUCGGCUAUUACCAUGAGUAUUGUAUUUUUAUUUUUUUAAUAGUCAUAAUUAUUUAUUUUAAAGUGGUUGGAGUAUCACAGUUGCGAAAUAUGAUAAAUACAUUUCUUUACAUAUGUUUUGAUAAAGAAAUUCUUUAAAACUUUGCUUAUUUCCAUUCUCAUGCACACAAAGUCACACACCUUUGUUUUGUUUCAUACUCUUCUUUUUCUUCUCUUUCACAUGCUUGCUUUUACGUAUCACAUAUAUAUGAAACCUAUUUAUAGGCUUAUAAAAUGCAUUAUGAAUUGUUCUCUCAUUUUUAUUUAGAUUUUAACUAUUGAAAUAUGUGUUUGCAAACACUUUAUCUCAGGGAUUUCCAUUGUUGGAAUCUAUUUACCUAAGUAACUGCCCUCAACUACUACAUGUCUUCAAGGUCAGUUUGAUAUUGUUAACUUACAAUAUGUUUUGUAUAAUUAGGAAUUUCCUUUAGAUUGCUAACUUACAAGGUCAGUUUGAUAUUGUUAAAAAAACUCACAUUUUAGUGUCAAAGGAAGUAUUCAUUCUCUAGAGCACUAAAUUGAUAUGGAGACCUGUUCCAUAUUUAUUAUAUUGGCAACUUAUUGAAUGACUUUUAUGGGGUAUGAUUGAGUCUAUGAUUGAUAUCUAGACCAUUUUAGAAGAUCAUAUCACUUAAGAGAUUAUCUUUUGGAGAUUGAAUUGAUUUGAAAUUACCUAAGAUAAUCCCUUGAAUCAUGGACUUUGAUUUGGUUUGUGAUUCUAUCUAUGGUUGAAUCAUGUUUGUAAUCUCCUUGUGACGAGGACACCAAUGUAACUUGGAUACCACUUAUUGGAAGUGUAGUAGUGACUAAGGAAAUUAACUUUUAUUACUCAAAACAAAUAUACUUACACAAAAUACAAAUAUAUUUUCCCCUCUCUCAAUUUCUAGUUACCACUAGUUAUACACUCACAAUUCACUCUUUGCGUAUUUCCGCUAUUGUGCACACAAACUCACACACAUUUCUUUCAUUUCUUACUCUUUCUUUUUCUUCAUAUCACAAAUAUAUGAAACCUUAUUAUAGGCUCAAAAACCACCUCAUCAAUUGCCACCUCUCUCAUUUUAUGUUUAUUUUAUUUAUUUAUUUAUUUAUGUAUAAGCCUUCAAUUAAUUCCAUGCCACCUUGACUUUUGCCCAUGGAUUGCCCACUUAUAAGGUUUGUUUGACUUCAACACAAUUUACAUGAUAGAAGAAUGUAAUUAUUUAUAUAGAAGGAAAUUCUAUCUUUUAUUUAAUUUAUAAUAAUGCUUUAAUAUUUUUAUAAUUUAAAAUAAAUAUUUGCAUUUAAGUUGCUAAUGAUGUUUUAGUCUAAUAACAAAAAUAUUAUAUCGUAGAUAUGAACAAACAAUUUCGUUCUGCAUUCCUAAUUAUAAAAAAUAAAUUUAAUUUUCUUUAUUUCGAUUGUGCGUUUUAUAAACAGCUAUAAAAGAAACUAAAAGAAACUAAGCAGCAUAUACAUGUUUUUAUAUUUUAUCUUUUAAUUAAUAAUCUAUUUUUAUAUUGAUAUGCUCAAUUUUUUAUAAUAAAAGAAAUAACUUACUAAGAUGUGUGUUUGAAACAUGUAGAAUGACUCUUCUCUUUGUUGUUGGCCGAAAUUGAGGAGUCUUCGCAUACAAUUUUGCCCAAAUUUGAAAUAUGUUUGUGCGACCACUUGGACUCAAGGGCUUCAAUCCUUGGAAUAUGUUUACAUAACAGAAUGUUCUCAACUUAUACAAGUCUUCAACAUGGAGCAAAAUAAGCAUGGACAAGAUAUUGUGCUUCCUGAACUUGGGUCACAGGUACUUCUGUAUUUACAUUUUUAAAGCUGAGCAAAGAGUUGAAAAAAUUGAAAGUUAAUAUGAAUUGUAGUGUUCAAUUCAAUUUUUUUAUUGAGUUUAAAUCAAAUAAAACAUGCACGUACCAUAUGACAACCAUUUAAAAAUAUAAAAAGUUAUAAUUUAAAAAUUAAAUUACAACUAUAUGUUUUUAAAAUUAGUAUAUCAAAUUAAUUUAUAAAUUUUUAUUAUCAAAUACUAAUAUACUGUAAUAUUCAUAUUAUAAAUAGUAAAAAUUAAAAUAGAGAAAUAUUAUAUAUUUAUUUUCUAUUGAUGUUAAGCUUUAAUAUAUUUAUUUAUAUUUUAUAUUUAUUUAAUAUAAUAAUGAUUAUUUAAAUUAUAUUUUAGAAAAUUAUUAAAUUAAUUUACCAUUAAAUGAUUUUUUUUUGCAAGGCUACCAUAUUUUAAUUUGAUAAUUUAUGUGAGAUAUUAAAACAGUGAGAUAUUAAUUUACCAUCAAAUAAUUUAUGAUUAUUUAAAUAUAAUUAUUUAAAUUAUAUUUUGAGAUAUUUGUUUUAGAAAAUGCAUCAAGAAUUGUUGUCUCUCAUUUUUAUUUAGAUUUUAUCUAUUUAUAGAAAAGCCUUUAAUUAAUUCCAUGCCACUUUAUUCUACCUUUAGAUUGCUAACUUACAAGGUCAGUUUGAUAUUGUUGAAAAAUAUCAAACUCGCAUUAUUUUAAUGUCAAAGGAAGUAUUCAUUCCCUAAAGCACCAAAUUGAUAUGGAGACCUUUGAGUUAUCUUUUGGAGAUUGGAUUAAUUUAAAAGCCCAAGACAAUCUCUUGGAUCAUAGACUUUGAGUUAGCUUAUUGCUUUUUUGGGGAGACACCAUGUGCAUCUAACCAUUGGUAUGCUAAAAGAAACUAAGCUGCAUAUACAUGUUUUUAUAUUUUAUCUUUUAAUUAAUAAUCUAUUUUUAUAUUGUUAUGCUCAAUUUUUUUAUAAUAAAAUAAAUAACUUACUAAGAUGUCUGUUUGAUACAUGUAGAAUGACUCCCCUCUUUGUUGUUGGCCGAAAUUGAGGAUUCUUCACAUAGAAUUUUGCCCAAAAUUGAAAUAUGUUUGUGCAAACACUUGGACUCGAGGGCUUCAAUCCUUGGAAUCUGUUUUCAUUAGAGAUUGUUCUCAACUUAUACAAGUCUUCAACAUGGAACAAAAUAAGCAUGGACAAGAUAUUGUGCUUCCUGAACUUGGAUCACAGGUACUUCUGUAUUUACAUUUUUAAGGCUGAGCAAAGACUUGAAAAAAUUGAAAAUUAAUUUGAAUUGUAGGGUUCAAUUCAAUUUUUUAUUGAGUUUAAAUCAAAUAGAACAUGCACGUACCAUAUGACAACCAUUUAAAAAUAUAAAAAGUUAUAAUUUAAAAAUUAAAUUACAACUAUAUGUUUUUAAAAUUAGUAUAUCAAAUUAAUUUAAAAUUUUUAUUAUCAAAUACUAAUAUACUAUAAUAUUCAUAUUAUAAAUAAUUCAUGCAUAAUUAUAAAUAGUAAAAAUUAAAAUAGAGAAAUAUUAUAUAUUUAUUUUCUAUUGAUGUUAAGAUUUAAUAUAUUUAUUUAAUAUAGUAAUGAUUAUUUAAAUUAUAUUUUAGAAAAUUGUUAAAUUAAUUUACCAUUAUAUGAUUUGUUUUUGCAAGAUUACCAUAUUUUAAUUUGAUAAUUCAUGUGAGAUAUUAAAACAGUGUUUGUAUAAAUAUAUAUUGAUAUCAUUGUAGAAUGAAUUUAUUUGAGUAGUGGUUAGUUCUACCUAAUAAAUAUUAUUUGAUGGCAAGAAUUUUGGUAAAUUUAACUAAUAAAUAUUGAUAUCAUUGACGGAAUUGAGGUGCAUAUGGAAUGAAUCGAAUCAUUGCGUUAACCUCUAUAGUCUGAUGACUAUUAGAAUAACUUAUCAAAGUCCAUUUUUAGAUAUUAAUAUUUUUAUUCAAAACUUCGGGUUGGAUUAAAAAAAAUUGUUUUCAUAAUUCUUUGAUUUAAAAGUUGAACGAGUAUCAGAGUUCAAUCUCUCUCAUCGACUUUUACAAUGAAUAUUGUAUUUUUAUAUUUUAAUUGUCAUGAUUAAUGAUUUUGAAGUGGUUGGGGCAUCACAGUUUCAAAAUAUAAUAAAUGUAUCUCUUUAUAAUUGGUACAUUCAAAGAUCAAUUGAUUUCUUUUUCUCAUGUUUUGGUAAAGAAAUUCUUUAAAAAUUAAAUUAUGUUUAAUAAAUCAUAUUCCUCAUUUUUAUUUAAACAAAUAUAUUUUGUAUAAUAUUUAAUUAUGUGGCUCAUUCAUGUAGAAUCAUUGCUGGACAAAACUGAAAACUCUCCAGAUAGAGGAUUGCCAACUAUUGAAAUAUGUGUUUGCAAACACUUUAUCUCAGGGAUUUCCAUUGUUGGAAUCUCUUUACCUAAAGAAUUUCCCUCAACUACUACAAGUCUUCAGUUCGACAGAAGAAAGGGAUGUGAUUGGUGAUCACAUUCUACUUAAUGUGCCCUUUCUGAAAAAUUUAGAAGUGUCAAAUUGUCCCCAAAUCUCAUGCUUCAUUGUACAAGCUCAGCUCAUAGAGGUAUUUAGAUUGUUCGCAUUUUAUAUAUGGAUUUUGGCACUAUAGCAAAUCAGUAAAUCGAUAUGUUGCUUAGUUUAUGUGAUAAUUCAUUCCUAUUUUAUACAUAGUUUGAAAAUGAAUUCCAUUGUUCACUCUUUAAAUAAAAAUGUAUCAAGCAAUGGCCUUUUGUGUUUAAUUAAUUUGGAAGAUAUUUUAGGGGUUUAGAUUUUAAAAAUAUAUCCUUUAAAAAAAAUCAAAGAUACAUGUAGCAUUGAGAUUAGAGAAGUAGUAUUUUCUAUUACUUGGAAUAUGUAAAAUUAUGAAGACUUAUGGGUAACAUUUACUCUAGUGUGUUUUUAUGACAUUUAUUAGGAUUUCUAUGUAUGCAGGAAUUGGUUCUUAGUAACGUGGGAAAUAGCCGCCAAUUAUGCAACACUGAUGUUCCUGUAUUGAAUGAAGGCUGUAUAGUAGUUGGGAAUCAUGAAGAAGUAUUUCAAGUUCAAGGCGGGUACUCGUUCUCAAGCAUAAAAAAAUUGAAAUUGAGGAAUUUAUUUGAAGCACGGGUUAUAUGGAACGAUUUUGCUCAAGUUGUAACCCUUGAGAACCUUACAACUCUAACACUGAGUGAUUGCAAGAAGCUAAGAUAUAUUUUUUCACCUAUGAUGGCUCGCAGUUUAUCACAUUUGGUGGAUCUUUUCAUCGAGGGGUGUGAGGAAAUAGAACGAAUCAUUUUAGCCAAGGAUCAAGUUUCUUCAUCAUCAUCAAAUGGUGAUACUAGCCACCAACCUAAGAGCUUUCGAAAUUUGACUCGGAUCACUGUUACAAAUUGUAAAAAUUUGAACAGUCUCUUUCCUUUUGGAUUAUUUCCUGUUCUUUCAAAGCUUGAAAGUCUCAUAGUUGAAAGGAAUUCUAAAUUGGAACAAGUAUUCGAAUUAGAAGAAAAAGUGGAAGUGGUAGCUAAAGAGAAGAUGAAAUUUUAUAACUUAGAAAGGUUAUUACUUGAAGAACUACCUGGCCUCAUUCAGUUUUGUCCCAAAGGAUAUCAUUUUGUAUUCCCAAAAAUGAUGGAGUUGAAAGUAAGAGAUUGCCCUAAGUUAACUACUGGUUUCUUCAUUGAUUCACAGGCAUUUGUACAUUGCAAAACAAAGGUAUAUAUCCUACAACCCUUUAUUCCUACUUUAUUCUAUGUAAUUAUAACAAUUACAACUAAAGGCAUAACAUGCAAAAUUUUUAAUUAAAUUCCUUAAGUGUAUAUGCGUUUCAUAUUUUUUUCCUUGAUGACAUGAGAUUAAAGUUUUAGUUAUAAUUGUUUCUUUAAUUGAUUUCUAAGGUACCUUAUUUGGUUGAGCAAGAUGCGGUUGAAGAAUCUACCACUGUUCAAAAUGCAAUUUUCAACGAGAAUAUAGAUUGGAGCCGAUGGUUGCGUAAGAGUCAACUACCACACAUUACAUGAAAGAAUGGAUGAUUUUAGGGUAGCUUUCAGAGCCAUGUUACAUCAGUAGGUGGAGCAAUGUUGCUAAGAUGUUUUUAGUUAAUUGUCUGAUAUAAUUUGUGUAUGAUAGAACAUGACCUUUACCGGCGUUUUCCCACAAACGUCGCUAUAAAACAUGACAUGUAGCGAUGCUUUUCCGACAAACGUAACUAAAAAACAUGACCUUUAAAAAAAAUUUAAUUAAAUAAUAUUUAUUUCUAUGAUAAAAUAUUUUAUUUUGUUUUAUUUUUAAAAUUUAAACUUUAAACUAUAUACUAAAUAAAAAAAUAUUAAUUAAAUUAAAUUUUCUAUUAAAAUUUUAACUUUAAAACUAAAUAUAAAAAUUAAUAAAUUGAAAUUUAGAAUUUAAAUAUUAUGUUUUUAAUUCAAAGUUCAACUUUUGGCACACCUUACAAACAUGGGCUCUAAACAAGGAGAAAGAUUGCAUCUCGGGCACAAAAAUCAAAACAGUACAAAGGUAAUAUCUUCAAUAAUUUUACCGAUAAUAUCGAUACGGUAUAAUUUUAUCAAUAUUUAUGUAAUGACCUAAUAUUGCCCGGUCCAAUAUAAAAUAAUAAAACAACCCAAUUUAUUUUUACAAACCCAAAUUUAAAGCCCAAACUCACUACCUAAUAUAGACUCUAACCCAAAACACUAAACCUAAAACUCAAAUUAACCCCGAGCCCAAUAAAGUAAACCUAGUUAAACCUAGCCCUGUAAACAAACUAAGCCUGCAGAAACCCUAGCCUACAAGCCUCCAGCGCGCCGCUCCUUCCCCACGUGAGCCUCUGCCUCCAGAUUGGUUGCAUCCUUGCAAAGAAAUAACAGAAUAAUAGAAAAAUAAUUAGAGAAAAUAGCAAAUUUGUAAAACGGAUACUGGAUACGAAAAUAUAAAAAACAAAUCAACUAGCUUUGUUAUUUCAAGAUGAUUUUUCAGAUUCUAUCUUUUUUUUUUUUUGCUCUUGGUUUUAUCAUCUUUUUAUUAAAAUAUAAAACGAAAGGAAGGAGGAGAGAAGAUUUACCUCUACUAGUCCGCCGUCGGCCUUUGUCUGCUCUGUUAAUAUCAGAGUUGAAGGGGCUGUUGUUUCGGCUGGGAACGGCGGAGAGAGGAUAGCCUAGGGUUUGGUUUUAUUUUCCUUAGAAGUGAAAAAAUAAUUCUGAUUAGGUUUUGGUUUGGGAUUUUAUAAAGUAAUAAAAACGACAUCGUUUGAGACCUGCUUCAGUGGCCCCAAAACGGCAUCGUAUAAGAGCAUACCCGACUGACCCGACCCAGAGGCGGCUGAGAUCCGCGUGUUGUGGCCCUGCUAGGGUUAUUUUCGAAUUUGGUCCUCCCUCUUUCAUAGUGAUUUCGAAUCAGUUUUUCUUUAUUUGUAAAUUCCAUACUGCAUUUUGCUUUUGUUUCAUUUUGGCCCAGGCUGUACGUCGCGUUUUGGAGGGACAGGGGUUAUUUCCCCAUUGGUCCCCCAUAUUAUUAGCACACUGCAUUUUGUCCCCUCGAUUUUAUUUUAUUUGCGAAUUUUCUCUUUAAUUUGGUUUCAAAUCCAAUUUAAUCUUAUUUUUUUUAUUGGAUUAAAUGCAUAUUGUUUUCUAUAUAUUUAGUUUUAAAUCAAAUAUUUCCAUAUGGUUUAAGAUUAGUGAUAUUAUUUGAAUUUAUCACCAAAAUCAUUAACAUUGUUUAUAUUUAUCUUUGUAGUUGUUUUUUUAUUUAUCAUAUAUUACAAUUUUAAGUUUUCGUUUAUUAUUACUUAGAUUUAACAUAUUUUAUGAUUCGUAUAUUCUUUUGAUAUAGUUUUUUUAAUCUUUUAUUUAUUUUUUUAAAUUCUCUUUUAUAUUCCUAUAUUCCAAAAGUUAUAAUAAUACUUUCAUACCAUACUAUCAUAUACAUGCAAUUUUGAUUUUUUUUUUUAUUUCAUGAACAGAUUAUUGUUUUCCUAUUAUUAUAAGGGCAAACUACCAAAAAUAGUUACUUUUGUUUGCCCUAGGUUACAUUUUAGUCACUUAUGUUUGGAAUAUUACUUUUUAGUCACUUACGUUAUCGUGUUGUAACAUUUUAGUCACUGAGUCGUUAAUUGCCAACAAUGGUGUAACGGUAAGCUGAUGUGGCAUGUUAAAUCAUCAUUUCAAACAAAAAUUUUAGGUUAAAUUCUACAAUUGGUCCCUAUAUUUUUUCAUUUUAAACAAUUUUAAAAUUUUCUUUUAAGUUCUUUUAAAAAAUUUUUCCAUUCUCUUUUGCUUCUACCUCUAUUUUCCUCCCUUCUUCAUUUCUUUUAACAUAGUUUUUCUAUGUUUUCCAUUUGUAACUAGUCCACAAGCUCGCCUCACUCAAAUUCAUUUUUAUGUUCAUAAAAUAAUUAAUAUUUCAACCUUUUUUUAAAAGUUAUUUAUAGUUCAUUUAUUUUAAAAUUGAAUCAGCAAUUAGAAUUCUAUCACUCUCAUCGGCUAUUACCAUGAGUAUUGUAUUUUUAUUUUUUUAAUAGUCAUAAUUAUUUAUUUUAAAGUGGUUGGAGUAUCACAGUUGCGAAAUAUGAUAAAUACAUUUCUUUACAUAUGUUUUGAUAAAGAAAUUCUUUAAAACUUUGCUUAUUUCCAUUCUCAUGCACACAAAGUCACACACCUUUGUUUUGUUUCAUACUCUUCUUUUUCUUCUCUUUCACAUGCUUGCUUUUACGUAUCACAUAUAUAUGAAACCUAUUUAUAGGCUUAUAAAAUGCAUUAUGAAUUGUUCUCUCAUUUUUAUUUAGAUUUUAACUAUUGAAAUAUGUGUUUGCAAACACUUUAUCUCAGGGAUUUCCAUUGUUGGAAUCUAUUUACCUAAGUAACUGCCCUCAACUACUACAUGUCUUCAAGGUCAGUUUGAUAUUGUUAACUUACAAUAUGUUUUGUAUAAUUAGGAAUUUCCUUUAGAUUGCUAACUUACAAGGUCAGUUUGAUAUUGUUAAAAAAACUCACAUUUUAGUGUCAAAGGAAGUAUUCAUUCUCUAGAGCACUAAAUUGAUAUGGAGACCUGUUCCAUAUUUAUUAUAUUGGCAACUUAUUGAAUGACUUUUAUGGGGUAUGAUUGAGUCUAUGAUUGAUAUCUAGACCAUUUUAGAAGAUCAUAUCACUUAAGAGAUUAUCUUUUGGAGAUUGAAUUGAUUUGAAAUUACCUAAGAUAAUCCCUUGAAUCAUGGACUUUGAUUUGGUUUGUGAUUCUAUCUAUGGUUGAAUCAUGUUUGUAAUCUCCUUGUGACGAGGACACCAAUGUAACUUGGAUACCACUUAUUGGAAGUGUAGUAGUGACUAAGGAAAUUAACUUUUAUUACUCAAAACAAAUAUACUUACACAAAAUACAAAUAUAUUUUCCCCUCUCUCAAUUUCUAGUUACCACUAGUUAUACACUCACAAUUCACUCUUUGCGUAUUUCCGCUAUUGUGCACACAAACUCACACACAUUUCUUUCAUUUCUUACUCUUUCUUUUUCUUCAUAUCACAAAUAUAUGAAACCUUAUUAUAGGCUCAAAAACCACCUCAUCAAUUGCCACCUCUCUCAUUUUAUGUUUAUUUUAUUUAUUUAUUUAUUUAUGUAUAAGCCUUCAAUUAAUUCCAUGCCACCUUGACUUUUGCCCAUGGAUUGCCCACUUAUAAGGUUUGUUUGACUUCAACACAAUUUACAUGAUAGAAGAAUGUAAUUAUUUAUAUAGAAGGAAAUUCUAUCUUUUAUUUAAUUUAUAAUAAUGCUUUAAUAUUUUUAUAAUUUAAAAUAAAUAUUUGCAUUUAAGUUGCUAAUGAUGUUUUAGUCUAAUAACAAAAAUAUUAUAUCGUAGAUAUGAACAAACAAUUUCGUUCUGCAUUCCUAAUUAUAAAAAAUAAAUUUAAUUUUCUUUAUUUCGAUUGUGCGUUUUAUAAACAGCUAUAAAAGAAACUAAAAGAAACUAAGCAGCAUAUACGUGUUUUUAUAUUUUAUCUUUUAAUUAAUAAUCUAUUUUUAUAUUGAUAUGCUCAAUUUUUUAUAAUAAAAGAAAUAACUUACUAAGAUGUGUGUUUGAAACAUGUAGAAUGACUCUUCUCUUUGUUGUUGGCCGAAAUUGAGGAGUCUUCGCAUACAAUUUUGCCCAAAUUUGAAAUAUGUUUGUGCGACCACUUGGACUCAAGGGCUUCAAUCCUUGGAAUAUGUUUACAUAACAGAAUGUUCUCAACUUAUACAAGUCUUCAACAUGGAGCAAAAUAAGCAUGGACAAGAUAUUGUGCUUCCUGAACUUGGGUCACAGGUACUUCUGUAUUUACAUUUUUAAAGCUGAGCAAAGAGUUGAAAAAAUUGAAAGUUAAUAUGAAUUGUAGUGUUCAAUUCAAUUUUUUUAUUGAGUUUAAAUCAAAUAAAACAUGCACGUACCAUAUGACAACCAUUUAAAAAUAUAAAAAGUUAUAAUUUAAAAAUUAAAUUACAACUAUAUGUUUUUAAAAUUAGUAUAUCAAAUUAAUUUAUAAAUUUUUAUUAUCAAAUACUAAUAUACUGUAAUAUUCAUAUUAUAAAUAGUAAAAAUUAAAAUAGAGAAAUAUUAUAUAUUUAUUUUCUAUUGAUGUUAAGCUUUAAUAUAUUUAUUUAUAUUUUAUAUUUAUUUAAUAUAAUAAUGAUUAUUUAAAUUAUAUUUUAGAAAAUUAUUAAAUUAAUUUACCAUUAAAUGAUUUUUUUUGCAAGGCUACCGUAUUUUAAUUUGAUAAUUUAUGUGAGAUAUUAAAACAGUGAGAUAUUAAUUUACCAUUAAAUAGUUUAUGAUUAUUUAAAUAUAAUUAUUUAAAUUAUAUUUUGAGAUAUUUGUUUUAGAAAAUGCAUCAAGAAUUGUUGUCUCUCAUUUUUAUUUAGAUUUUAUCUAUUUAUAGAAAAACUUUUAAUUAAUUCCAUGCCACUUAUUCUACCUUUAGAUUGCUAACUUACAAGGUCAGUUUGAUAUUGUUGAAAAAUAUCAAACUCGCAUUAUUUUAAUGUCAAAGGAAGUAUUCAUUCCCUAAAGCACCAAAUUGAUAUGGAGACCUUUGAGUUAUCUUUUGGAGAUUGGAUUAAUUUAAAAGCCCAAGACAAUCUCUUGGAUCAUAGACUUUGAGUUAGCUUAUUGCUUUUUUGGGGAGACACCAUGUGCAUCUAACCAUUGGUAUGCUAAAAGAAACUAAGCUGCAUAUACAUGUUUUUAUAUUUUAUCUUUUAAUUAAUAAUCUAUUUUUAUAUUGUUAUGCUCAAUUUUUUUAUAAUAAAAUAAAUAACUUACUAAGAUGUCUGUUUGAUACAUGUAGAAUGACUCCCCUCUUUGUUGUUGGCCGAAAUUGAGGAUUCUUCACAUAGAAUUUUGCCCAAAAUUGAAAUAUGUUUGUGCAAACACUUGGACUCGAGGGCUUCAAUCCUUGGAAUCUGUUUUCAUUAGAGAUUGUUCUCAACUUAUACAAGUCUUCAACAUGGAACAAAAUAAGCAUGGACAAGAUAUUGUGCUUCCUGAACUUGGAUCACAGGUACUUCUGUAUUUACAUUUUUAAGGCUGAGCAAAGACUUGAAAAAAUUGAAAAUUAAUUUGAAUUGUAGGGUUCAAUUCAAUUUUUUAUUGAGUUUAAAUCAAAUAGAACAUGCACGUACCAUAUGACAACCAUUUAAAAAUAUAAAAAGUUAUAAUUUAAAAAUUAAAUUACAACUAUAUGUUUUUAAAAUUAGUAUAUCAAAUUAAUUUAAAAUUUUUAUUAUCAAAUACUAAUAUACUAUAAUAUUCAUAUUAUAAAUAAUUCAUGCAUAAUUAUAAAUAGUAAAAAUUAAAAUAGAGAAAUAUUAUAUAUUUAUUUUCUAUUGAUGUUAAGAUUUAAUAUAUUUAUUUAAUAUAGUAAUGAUUAUUUAAAUUAUAUUUUAGAAAAUUGUUAAAUUAAUUUACCAUUAUAUGAUUUGUUUUUGCAAGAUUACCAUAUUUUAAUUUGAUAAUUCAUGUGAGAUAUUAAAACAGUGUUUGUAUAAAUAUAUAUUGAUAUCAUUGUAGAAUGAAUUUAUUUGAGUAGUGGUUAGUUCUACCUAAUAAAUAUUAUUUGAUGGCAAGAAUUUUGGUAAAUUUAACUAAUAAAUAUUGAUAUCAUUGACGGAAUUGAGGUGCAUAUGGAAUGAAUCGAAUCAUUGCGUUAACCUCUAUAGUCUGAUGACUAUUAGAAUAACUUAUCAAAGUCCAUUUUUAGAUAUUAAUAUUUUUAUUCAAAACUUCGGGUUGGAUUAAAAAAAAUUGUUUUCAUAAUUCUUUGAUUUAAAAGUUGAACGAGUAUCAGAGUUCAAUCUCUCUCAUCGACUUUUACAAUGAAUAUUGUAUUUUUAUAUUUUAAUUGUCAUGAUUAAUGAUUUUGAAGUGGUUGGGGCAUCACAGUUUCAAAAUAUAAUAAAUGUAUCUCUUUAUAAUUGGUACAUUCAAAGAUCAAUUGAUUUCUUUUUCUUAUGUUUUGGUAAAGAAAUUCUUUAAAAAUUAAAUUAUGUUUAAUAAAUCAUAUUCCUCAUUUUUAUUUAAACAAAUAUAUUUUGUAUAAUAUUUAAUUAUGUGGCUCAUUCAUGUAGAAUCAUUGCUGGACAAAACUGAAAACUCUCCAGAUAGAGGAUUGCCAACUAUUGAAAUAUGUGUUUGCAAACACUUUAUCUCAGGGAUUUCCAUCGUUGGAAUCUCUUUACCUAAAGAAUUGCCCUCAACUACUACAAGUCUUCAGUUCGACAGAAGAAAGGGAUGUGAUUGGUGAUCACAUUCUACUUAAUGUGCCCUUUCUGAAAAAUUUAGAAGUGUCAAAUUGUCCCCAAAUCUCAUGCUUCAUUGUACAAGCUCAGCUCAUAGAGGUAUUUAGAUUGUUCGCAUUUUAUAUAUGGAUUUUGGCACUAUAGCAAAUCAGUAAAUCGAUAUGUUGCUUAGUUUAUGUGAUAAUUCAUUCCUAUUUUAUACAUAGUUUGAAAAUGAAUUCCAUUGUUCACUCUUUAAAUAAAAAUGUAUCAAGCAAUGGCCUUUUGUGUUUAAUUAAUUUGGAAGAUAUUUUAGGGGUUUAGAUUUUAAAAAUAUAUCCUUUAAAAAAAAUCAAAGAUACAUGUAGCAUUGAGAUUAGAGAAGUAGUAUUUUCUAUUACUUGGAAUAUGUAAAAUUAUGAAGACUUAUGGGUAACAUUUACUCUAGUGUGUUUUUAUGACAUUUAUUAGGAUUUCUAUGUAUGCAGGAAUUGGUUCUUAGUAACGUGGGAAAUAGCCGCCAAUUAUGCAACACUGAUGUUCCUGUAUUGAAUGAAGGCUGUAUAGUAGUUGGGAAUCAUGAAGAAGUAUUUCAAGUUCAAGGCGGGUACUCGUUCUCAAGCAUAAAAAAAUUGAAAUUGAGGAAUUUAUUUGAAGCACGGGUUAUAUGGAACGAUUUUGCUCAAGUUGCAACCCUUGAGAACCUUACAACUCUAACACUGAGUGAUUGCAAGAAGCUAAGAUAUAUUUUUUCACCUAUGAUGGCUCGCAGUUUAUCACAUUUGAAGGAUCUUUCCAUCGAGGGGUGUGAGGAAAUAGAACGACUCAUUUUAGACAAGGAUCAAGUUUCUUCAUCAUCAUCAAAUGGUGAUACUAGCCUCCAACCUAUGAGCUUUCCAAAUUUGACUGAGAUUGUUGUUAUAGAUUGUAAAAAUUUGAGCAGUCUCUUUCCUUUUGGAUUUGUUCCUGUUCUUCCAAUGCUUGAAAGUCUCAGAGUUGAAAGGAAUUCUAAAUUGGAACAAGUAUUCGAAUUAGAAGAAAAAGUGGAAGUGGUAGCUAAAGAGAAGAUGAUAUUUGAUAACUUAAAAAGGUUAUUACUUGAAGAACUACCUGGCCUCAUUCAGUUUUGUCCCAAAGGAUAUCAUUCUGUAUUCCCAAAAAUGAUGCAGUUGAAAGUAAGAGAUUGCCCUAAGUUGACUACUGGUUUCUUCAUUGAUUCACAGGAAUUUGUACAUUGCAAAACAAAGGUAUAUAUCCUACAACCCUUUAUUCCUACUUUAUUCUAUGUAAUUAUAACAAUUACAACUGAAGGCAUAACAUGCAAAAUUUUUAAUUAAAUUCCUUAAGUGUAUAUGCGUUUCAUAUUUUUUUCCUUGAUGACAUGAGAUUAAAGUUUUAGUUAUAAUUGUUUCUUUAAUUGAUUUCUAAGGUACCUCAGUUGGUUGAGCAAGAUGCGGUUGAAGAGUCUACCACUAUUCGAAAUGCAAUUUUCAAUGAGAAUAUAUAUUGGAGCCGACUUUGGGGUGAGAGUCAACUACCACACAUUGCAUGAAAGAAUGGAUGGUUUUAGGGCAGCCUUCAAAGCCAUGUUACAUCAGUAGGUAGAGC